UUGAUUGAUUUGUUUUUUUUUUCUCAGACUGCAAAAUAAAUGUCAAGAGUUUGGACCCUCGGCGGGCAAAAGAAAACCGCGUCGGGAAGCGUCGCCAUGCCCCAAGAAAAGGCACAGCCACCCUCCCCGCAGCGUCCCGCCGAAGCAACAGGUAGGUACGCAAAGGGUGGGAGUCCGUGCAGAACACGGUGACUCGGUAAUGAUCCUUCCGCAGGUUCACCUACGGAAA
RNAcentral lists this unclassified non-coding RNA (229 nucleotides) under uncultured fungus. Its description in RNAcentral is "sequence contains ITS1". The record is from RNAcentral. Lineage: Eukaryota; Fungi.